GAUGAACGCUGGCGGCGUGCCUAAUACAUACAAGUCGAGCGAACAGACGAGGAGCUUGCUCCUCUGACGUUAGCGGCGGACGGGUGAGUAACACGUGGAUAACCUACCUAUAAGACUGGGAUAACUUCGGGAAACCGGAGCUAAUACCGGAUAAUAUAUUGAACCGCAUGGUUCAAUAGUGAAAGACGGUUUUGCUGUCACUUAUAGAUGGAUCCGCGCCGCAUUAGCUAGUUGGUAGGUAACGGCUUACCAAGGCAACGAUGCGUAGCCGACCUGAGAGGGUGAUCGGCCACACUGGAACUGAGACACGGUCCAGACUCCUACGGGAGGCAGCAGUAGGGAAUCUUCCGCAAUGGGCGAAAGCCUGACGGAGCAACGCCGCGUGAGUGAUGAAGGUCUUCGGAUCGUAAAACUCUGUUAUUAGGGAAGAACAAAUGUGUAAGUAACUAUGCACGUCUUGACGGUACCUAAUCAGAAAGCCACGGCUAACUACGUG
This 496-nucleotide ribosomal RNA is filed under the name uncultured bacterium. Its description in RNAcentral is "partial 16S ribosomal RNA". It matches the Rfam family "Bacterial small subunit ribosomal RNA", at positions 28 to 507 of the family's 1533-position model. The record is from RNAcentral.